Molecule: ribosomal RNA, 449 nt
Filed under: uncultured bacterium
Lineage: Bacteria
Description: bacterial SSU rRNA
Rfam family: Bacterial small subunit ribosomal RNA
Source: RNAcentral
AACGAACGCUGGCGGCAUGCCUAACACAUGCAAGUCGAACGAAGCCUUCGGGCUUAGUGGCGCACGGGUGCGUAACGCGUGGGAAUCUGCCCCUCGGUUCGGAAUAACAGUUAGGAAUGACUGCUAAUACCGGAUGAUGACGAAAGUCCAAAGAUUUAUCGCCGAGGGAUGAGCCCGCGUAGGAUUAGCUUGUUGGUGGGGUAAUGGCCCACCAAGGCGACGAUCCUUAGCUGGUCUGAGAGGAUGAUCAGCCACACUGGGACUGAGACACGGCCCAGACUCCUACGGGAGGCAGCAGUGGGAAUAUUGGACAAUGGGCGAAAGCCUGAUCCAGCAAUGCCGCGUGAGUGAUGAAGGCCUUAGGGUUGUAAAGCUCUUUUACCAGGGAUGAUAAUGACAGUACCUGGAGAAUAAGCUCCGGCUAACUCCGUGCCAGCAGCCGCGGUAAU